Molecule: long non-coding RNA, 331 nt
Filed under: Gossypium barbadense (sea-island cotton)
Lineage: Eukaryota; Viridiplantae; Streptophyta; Magnoliopsida; Malvales; Malvaceae
Description: long non-coding RNA (GBAR_LNC000598)
Source: RNAcentral
UCGAUUUCAUGCUUAUUUAAUUUAGCUAAUUUCAUAGCCGAUUAAUCACCUUACCCCAACAUUACUCAAUGCCGAAUAUUAACCCAACAUCACAAGCAUAAUCACCAUGAAACUUACCUUGAUACACAUUUUAUCCCAUUGCCGAAUACAUAUAUAUAUAUCACCAAACAAAUUUUUAUUCACAUCUCUAUAAUUGAUCAUAAUCAGACAUUAUAAACAAAUCAACUAGUUUAGCAUUCAAAUUCUUCUAAUCAUUCCUCAAUCACUUACUCAAUGAACAAUAAUCCAAGCACAUCAAAGCAUAGUCGAAUGUAUCAUUCUUCUUAAAUUC